AGAUUGAACGCUGGCGGCGUGCUUAACACAUGCAAGUCGAGCGGUAACGCGGGAGCAAUCCUGGCGACGAGCGGCGAACGGGUGAGUAAUGCUUGGGAAUCUGCCCAUUAGUGGGGAACAACCAGCCGAAAGGUUGGCUAAUACCGCAUACGCCCUACGGGGGAAAGCGGGGGAUCGUAAGACCUCGCGCUAAUGGAUGAGCCCAAGUCGGAUUAGCUUGUUGGUAGGGUAACGGCCUACCAAGGCGACAAUCCGUAGCUGGUCUGAGAGGACGACCAGCCACACUGGGACUGAGACACGGCCCAGACUCCUACGGAGGCAGCAGUGGGGAAUAUUGGACAAUGGGGGCAACCCUGAUCCAGCGACGCCGCGUGUGUGAAGAAGGCCUGCGGGUUGUAAAGCACUUUUAGUGGGGAUGAAAAGCUCAGGGUUAACACCUCUGGGUCUUGACCUAACCCACAGAAAAGCACCGGCUAACUCUGUGCCAGCAGCCGC
Molecule: ribosomal RNA, 495 nt
Filed under: uncultured bacterium
Lineage: Bacteria
Description: SSU rRNA
Rfam family: Bacterial small subunit ribosomal RNA
Source: RNAcentral